Hippocampus comes (tiger tail seahorse) is the source of this 945-nucleotide long non-coding RNA. RefSeq lists it as uncharacterized. The transcript has 7 exons. The record is from RefSeq and is a predicted model, not a curated record. NCBI's taxonomy places the organism in Eukaryota, Metazoa, Chordata, Actinopteri, Syngnathiformes, Syngnathidae.
CAGACUGACAGGCUCCCGGGGCAACGUGACUUCCUCCGUCCAAUCAGAGCUCAGAGACCAGGAAUCAGCCGCAGAGCUCUUUUUGCACGAGUUUAGUGUGCACCGGCGCAAACCUGUGCACGUUUGGAUAUUGGUGGAUCCCUGCUCCCAUGAUCUAUUGGCGCACCCCUUUGAAUGCCACUCGUCAACCCUGAGGGAUCCCAACCAGUCCAGUGCUAUCUCAAGCCCACUGAAGUUUCUCAGGUGGGCAGCAACCCAGCAACAGGAGUGCUCCUUAUCUGUUCCUUUGUGCAAGGGGAAAGUGAUCUUCCAUCCGUGUAAUCUGAUGGCUCCUGGAUGAGCGAGCAGGCUUUACAUGACACUCCACUGUGGCCUCAUCUGAAUAAUGCAGCUCUCUCAAGUUAACAAAGCUCAUCCGGCGUCUUUCAACACAAGCACUCUGUGAAAAAAGCCAUCAUCCUCUGUGAUAAAGUUGCACGUCUGUGGAAACUCCAUUAAGGGACGAGUGAGACCAACGAGCGACUUGCUACAGCUCCUGGAGGGAAUAUUUCAAAGAGGAACUUUAAACAUUUGGGAUAACAUCAACGCUGCUGGCAGCACGCGUGAAAGCCGAGCGGGACCUCCUGAAACAUUUUAACCAGAAGAGCCAAGCGCCAACCCACUGUAGAGCAUCCACGUAGCAGGCUACUGCCACCCAGCGAGCGGCCAACACCAUCCCCCGAGCAGGGUCAUGGAGGACUCUGAGAUCUGUUCCGUGCCUGGGGGACUCGCCAGCAUGAGGAAACAAUUUACGACCCAGGAAACUAUCUCUACGACCACAUCACAUGUAACCCAGUUCCAUUUCCAGCGCAGCAGUGUGCAGGAAAUGUCACACUCGGAGUCAAGCAGCGGGCAACAGGUGGUUGCAAGCAGUCAGCAGCUGCAAUCCAAACAAGAAACAAUGGU